GACGCUCUCUCUCUCUCUCUCUCUCUCUCUCUCUCUCUCUCUCUCUUCUCCAGCUUUCUUUUUGUUUGAAAAGAAGCAACGCCUUCAGAUCUGGCGAUCUGUGAUCGCUACCCUGAAAACGUCGCUCGAUGCCACUGCACCCGAACGCGUUUGCUAUCUCCGCUGCACUCGAUCGGGCAUAAUUGAAGUGCAUAGAAGGAUUUUUAUUUUAUUUUUUUCCAUUCAUCAAUUGCUUGAAGGUGGUGUAAAAUAUUCGUUUCUUUGGUGAAUGAUUUUAUGCAGUUCUGCCUUUCAGGAACAAACCACUCCCAGUUUUUUGUAUCUUUGAUUUUAACUUGUCAAUGUCAUUGUCAAUUUAAUACAAAAUCCAUGUUCACCUGCAGUGUUGAUGGGCAGGUAGCCAAGGACAUAUAACUGCUAGAUUCCAUUGCUGAGAAGCAACCCCAAAUCUUCUCUGAAGAAUGCAAGUAUUAUUGAAGUAAAGAGUUUGAUUUUUUUUCACCGGAGUUUGAAGAUGAGAUCAUAAUGCUGGUUGAUUUACUUGAUGCCUUUGCCUUUUGGAUGGAUUGAAGAUUUUUGGGGUCCUAAUGCAUUUGGUUUAUUUUGACUUUUGUUACUGAAUAUUUAUUGGAUGUUGCAGGUAAUUAGCACAUGGGAUGACCAAAAAUGAGUGAUGCCCCAUUGGUUUGACCUGGAAAAUUUAUUAUAACUAACCUUUUCAAGUAAUUGGAUGAUUCAUAUGAUCCAGUAACAUUUGUUGUUUCAUGUCUACUUGUUGAGGC
Magnolia sinica is the source of this 782-nucleotide long non-coding RNA. RefSeq lists it as uncharacterized. Lineage: Eukaryota; Viridiplantae; Streptophyta; Magnoliopsida; Magnoliales; Magnoliaceae. The record is from RefSeq and is a predicted model, not a curated record. The transcript is spliced from 2 exons.